GCCUUCGUGGUGUACUGGUCAGUACGCUCGACGCGUAACCGAGAGGACCGUGGUUCGAUUCCCGGCGAGAGCA
Molecule: transfer RNA, 73 nt
Filed under: Stegodyphus mimosarum
Lineage: Eukaryota; Metazoa; Arthropoda; Arachnida; Araneae; Eresidae
Rfam family: tRNA
About the family: Transfer RNA (tRNA) molecules are approximately 80 nucleotides in length. Their secondary structure includes four short double-helical elements and three loops (D, anti-codon, and T loops).
Source: Rfam by way of RNAcentral